CCUUCGAUAGCUCAGUUGGUAGAGCGCAGGACUGUAGGUUCCUAAUUACAGGCAUCCUUAGGUCGCUGGCUCGAAGGA
RNAcentral lists this transfer RNA (78 nucleotides) under Perca flavescens (yellow perch). The record is from Rfam by way of RNAcentral. Lineage: Eukaryota; Metazoa; Chordata; Actinopteri; Perciformes; Percidae.